UACGUAGGGGGCAAGCGUUGCUCGGAAUCACUGGGCUUAAAGCGUGUGUAGGCGGAUCGUUAAGUGCCUUGUGAAAUCCCAUGGCUUAACCAUGGAACUGCUUGGCAUACUGGCGGUCUUGAGCCACUUAGGGGCAACCGGAACAAAUGGUGGAGCGGUGAAAUGCGUAGAUAUCAUUUGGAACGCCAAUGGUGAAAACAGGUUGCUGGGAGUGUGCUGACGCUGAGACACGAAAGCCAGGGGAGCGAACGGG
This 253-nucleotide ribosomal RNA is filed under the name uncultured bacterium. Its description in RNAcentral is "partial 16S ribosomal RNA". It matches the Rfam family "Bacterial small subunit ribosomal RNA", at positions 524 to 776 of the family's 1533-position model. The record is from RNAcentral.